Molecule: non-coding RNA, 140 nt
Filed under: Symbiodinium sp. clade D
Lineage: Eukaryota; Dinophyceae; Suessiales; Symbiodiniaceae
Source: RNAcentral
AGUGGUCCAGCCUCUUUGCCGCCAUCGAUGAGGAGAACCUGCCGCCACUGCAAGCUAAGUGCUCGACCAUGGUUUCUUCCGAGAUGGAGCGUCACCACUUGGAGAUCUUGAGGACCUACUCCCACUCCGACCUGCACGAC